This 497-nucleotide ribosomal RNA is filed under the name uncultured bacterium. Its description in RNAcentral is "partial 16S ribosomal RNA". It matches the Rfam family "Bacterial small subunit ribosomal RNA", at positions 28 to 507 of the family's 1533-position model. The record is from RNAcentral.
GAUGAACGCUGGCGGCGUGCCUAAUACAUGCAAGUCGAGCGAACAGACGAGGAGCUUGCUCCUCUGACGUUAGCGGCGGACGGGUGAGUAACACGUGGAUAACCUACCUAUAAGACUGGGAUAACUUCGGGAAACCGGAGCUAAUACCGGAUAAUAUAUUGAACCGCAUGGUUCAAUAGUGAAAGGCGGUUUUGCUGUCACUUAUCGAUGGAUCCGCGCCGCAUUAGCUAGUUGGUAAGGUAACGGCUUACCAAGGGGACGAUGCGUAGCCGACGUGCGAGAGUGAUCGGCCACACUGGAACUGAGACACGGUCCAGGCGCCUACGAGAGGCAGCAGUAGGGAAUCUUCCGCAAUAGGCGAAAACCUGACAGAGCAACGCCACGUGAGUGAUGAAGGUCUUCGGAUCGUAAAACUCUGUUAUUAGGGAAAAACAAAUGUGUAAGUAGCUAUGCACGUCUUGACGGUACCUAAUCAGAAAGCCACGGCUAACUACGUG